UAGACUUGGUCCGCCUCUUACGUGGCGAAAUAGCAAUGAUUCCACACAAUGCACAUUCGCAUUGAUGAAGGAACUGGAGCCUGGAUCAGUAGGCCCACCUUCAACGGAGUCUUCCAUUGGGUAACCGCAGAUUCCAUUCCCCCAGGCGCAUGCUCUGUUCCGGACUUUCGGCUGACUGGCAAAGCAGAGAGAGUAUACUGUAGGCAGUAGAUGUUGUACAUUGGCAGGAUGGUACCUCUUCCUGGUACAUCUAUACAUGGGAUAGUCUCAGUAACUGAGCCAUCCAUUAUACCGACCUUCCUUAGAGGGACUGUGUGUGUGUAUACCAAGAUAGGAAGGCAACACAGUUCAGAGGAAGGCCAGCAUCCAUCAGUCGGUGUGUGUUGUGUUGUGUUGUUAUCUGGUCUUCUCCCCCAUUGAAGAGCGGCAUCGGAUGUAUAUCCUGACUGGCAACCUAGAUUGCUGGUAGCAUAUCAACAAAGGUCGAUUCUUCAUACUGAUCAUUGGUUGAGCUGUGUUGGUUGAUAUGAUUCAUCAUGAACCAUUAUCUUAGAUUCUGUUCCAGCCUUUCUUUCGGUCGCGGUGGGCUCCCGCGUAGCUCAUGUUGCGCCGUUCAUUGGUGUGUGUUCCACCUGCGUCUCCUUGCCUGUUGCCAUAUCUUGACACGACAUCUUCUCGACGCCUACAGUCUGAUCUCUCAUACUAGCAAUAUGUGCAGGUUGUAUUUUUGUUUUCAUGUGUUGAGAUAUCAGUAUGCACAAGGGUACACCAUGCAUGAUCUUGGCCAUUUCUCGAAAGAAAGGAAAAUGAUGAAGUACUACGUACUAGAUUUAAGGCACAUUUUAAAACAUUCCAAAUCAGCUUUACCUGUAAAACAUUUCAGGAAGAGAUGGUCAAUAUGGCAACUCUUGUCACCUUUUCGGAGAUAACUCCAUAACUUGUCUUUGGUUAGAAUACUAUUUAUCGGAUCGUAUAAGCACCUUGAGUUUAAGAGGUAUUUUGACUUUUCUAGAGAAAUUUAUGAGGAAAUCCAAUUCCUAUAGAAGGAACAUAAUGAGAACAAUUUGCUAUGUUUGCAUAGUCGCUCCUGAUGAUUGAUGAGUAGCCCUAUAAACCGGAAAGGAGGGAGUA
This 1131-nucleotide long non-coding RNA is filed under the name Hordeum vulgare. Its description in RNAcentral is "long non-coding RNA (HVUL_LNC002565)". Lineage: Eukaryota; Viridiplantae; Streptophyta; Magnoliopsida; Poales; Poaceae. The record is from RNAcentral.